AACGCACCUUGCGCUCCCUGGUAUUCCGGGGAGCAUGUCUGUUUGAGUGUUAUGAAAUCUUCAACCCACUGUUUCUUGUUAAACGUGAGUGGUGCUUGGAUUCAUGGGCGUACGUGCCAGCCGCUGAGGCUGGCUCGCCCGGAAUGCAUGAGAGCAGCGUCGACCUUCGACAUCUGGCUUGACUUGGCGUGAUAGAUUAUUUCGCUGAGGACAACUUAGGUUGGCCGAUUCGAUGGAAGGGGGCUCCCAAUGAAAAGCUUUACCUUUAACAUUUGACCUCAAAUCAGAUAGGACUACCCGCUGAACUUAA
Molecule: unclassified non-coding RNA, 310 nt
Filed under: uncultured fungus
Lineage: Eukaryota; Fungi
Description: sequence contains ITS2
Rfam family: 5.8S ribosomal RNA (bases 1-52)
Source: RNAcentral